ACGCUGGCGGCACGCCUAACACAUGCAAGUCGAACGCAGUAGCAAUACUGAGUGGCAGACGGGUGAGUAUAAUGUGGGAAUCUGCCUUUUGGUUCGGAAUAACACGAGGAAACUUGUGCUAAUACCGGAUAAGCCUUUACAGGGAAAGUUUUAAUGCCAAAAGAUGAGCCCGCACUUGAUUAGCUAGUUGGUAAGGUAACUGCUUACCAAGGCAACGAUCAAUAGCUGUUCUUAGAGGAAGACCAGCCACAUUGGGACUGAGACACGGCCCAAACUCCUACGGGAGGCAGCAGUGGGGAAUCUUGCACAAUGGGGGCAACCCUGAUGCAGCGAUGCCGCGUGAGUGAAGAAGGCCUUUGGGUUGUAAAACUCUUUCGUCGGGGAAGAAAAUGACUGUACCCGAAUAAGAAGGUCCGGCUAACUUCGUGCCAGCAGCCGCGGUAAUACGAAGGGACCUAGCGUAGUUCGGAAUUACUGGGCUUAAAGAGUUCGUAGGUGGUUAAAAAAGUUGAUGGUGAAAUCCCAAGGCUCAACCUUGGAACUGCCAUCAAAACUUUUUAGCUAGAGUAUGAUAGAGGAAAGUGGAAUUUCUAGUGUAGAGGUGAAAUUCGUAGAUAUUAGAAAGAACAUCAAAUGCGAAGGCAACUUUCUGGAUCAUUACUGACACUGAGGAACGAAAGCAUGGGUAGCGAAGAGGAUUAGAUACCCUCGUAGUCCAUGCCGUAAACGAUGUGUGCUAGACGUUGGAAACUUAGUUUUCAGUGUCGCAGAGAAAUCGUU
Molecule: ribosomal RNA, 780 nt
Filed under: uncultured bacterium
Lineage: Bacteria
Description: bacterial SSU rRNA
Rfam family: Bacterial small subunit ribosomal RNA
Source: RNAcentral